GGUUAAGCGACUAAGCGUACACGGUGGAUGCCCUGGCAGUCAGAGGCGAUGAAGGACGUGCUAAUCUGCGAAAAGCGUCGGUAAGGUGAUAUGAACCGUUACAGCCGGCGAUGUCCGAAUGGGGAAACCCAGUGUGAUUCGUCACACUAUCGUUAACUGAAUACAUAGGUUAACGAGGCGAACCGGGGGAACUGAAACAUCUAAGUACCCCGAGGAAAAGAAAUCAACCGAGAUUCCCCCAGUAGCGGCGAGCGAACGGGGAGCAGCCCAGAGUCUGAAUCAGCUUGUGUGUUAGUGGAACGGUCUGGAAAGUCCGACGGUACAGGGUGAUAGUCCCGUACACCAAAAUGCACAGGCUGUGAACUCGAAGAGUAGGGCGGGACACGUGGUAUCCUGUCUGAAUAUGGGGGGACCAUCCUCCAAGGCUAAAUACUCCUGACUGACCGAUAGUGAACCAGUACCGUGAGGGAAAGGCGAAAAGAACCCCGGCGAGGGGAGUGAAAAAGAACCUGAAACCGUGUACGUACAAGCAGUGGGAGCACCUUCGGGUGUGACUGCGUACCUUUUGUAUAAUGGGUCAGCGACUUAUAUUCUGUAGCAAGGUUAACCGUAUAGGGGAGCCGCAGGGAAACCGAGUCUUAACUGGGCGUUAAGUUGCAGGGUAUAGACCCGAAACCCGGUGAUCUAGCCAUGGGCAGGUUGAAGGUUGGGUAACACUAACUGGAGGACCGAACCGACUAAUGUUGAAAAAUUAGCGGAUGACUUGUGGCUGGGGGUGAAAGGCCAAUCAAACCGGGAGAUAGCUGGUUCUCCCCGAAAGCUAUUUAGGUAGCGCCUCGUGAACUCAUCUUCGGGGGUAGAGCACUGUUUCGGCUAGGGGGUCAUCCCGACUUACCAACCCGAUGCAAACUACGAAUACCGAAGAAUGUUAUCACGGGAGACACACGGCGGGUGCUAACGUCCGUCGUGAAGAGGGAAACAACCCAGACCGCCAGCUAAGGUCCCAAAGUCAUGGUUAAGUGGGAAACGAUGUGGGAAGGCACAGACAGCCAGGAUGUUGGCUUAGAAGCAGCCAUCAUUUAAAGAAAGCGUAAUAGCUCACUGGUCGAGUCGGCCUGCGCGGAAGAUGUAACGGGGCUAAACCAUGCACCGAAGCUGCGGCAGCGACACUAUGUGUUGUUGGGUAGGGGAGCGUUCUGUAAGCCUGCGAAGGUGUGCUGUGAGGCAUGCUGGAGGUAUCAGAAGUGCGAAUGCUGACAUAAGUAACGAUAAAGCGGGUGAAAAGCCCGCUCGCCGGAAGACCAAGGGUUCCUGUCCAACGUUAAUCGGGGCAGGGUGAGUCGACCCCUAAGGCGAGGCCGAAAGGCGUAGUCGAUGGGAAACAGGUUAAUAUUCCUGUACUUGGUGUUACUGCGAAGGGGGGACGGAGAAGGCUAUGUUAGCCGGGCGACGGUUGUCCCGGUUUAAGCAUGUAGGCUGGUUAUCCAGGCAAAUCCGGAUAAUCAAGGCUGAGGUGUGAUGACGAGGCACUACGGUGCUGAAGUAACAAAUGCCCUGCUUCCAGGAAAAGCCUCUAAGCAUCAGGUAACAUCAAAUCGUACCCCAAACCGACACAGGUGGUCAGGUAGAGAAUACCAAGGCGCUUGAGAGAACUCGGGUGAAGGAACUAGGCAAAAUGGUGCCGUAACUUCGGGAGAAGGCACGCUGGUGUGUAGGUGAAGCCCCUGCGGGUGGAGCUGAGACCAGUCGAAGAUACCAGCUGGCUGCAACUGUUUAUUAAAAACACAGCACUGUGCAAACACGAAAGUGGACGUAUACGGUGUGACGCCUGCCCGGUGCCGGAAGGUUAAUUGAUGGGGUUAUCCGUAAGGAGAAGCUCUUGAUCGAAGCCCCGGUAAACGGCGGCCGUAACUAUAACGGUCCUAAGGUAGCGAAAUUCCUUGUCGGGUAAGUUCCGACCUGCACGAAUGGCGUAAUGAUGGCCAGGCUGUCUCCACCCGAGACUCAGUGAAAUUGAACUCGCUGUGAAGAUGCAGUGUACCCGCGGCAAGACGGAAAGACCCCGUGAACCUUUACUAUAGCUUGACACUGAACAUUGAGCCUUGAUGUGUAGGAUAGGUGGGAGGCUUUGAAGCGUGGACGCCAGUCUGCGUGGAGCCAACCUUGAAAUACCACCCUUUAAUGUUUGAUGUUCUAACGUUGGCCCCUUACCGGGGUUGCGGACAGUGUCUGGUGGGUAGUUUGACUGGGGCGGUCUCCUCCCAAAGCGUAACGGAGGAGCACGAAGGUUAGCUAAUCCUGGUCGGACAUCAGGAGGUUAGUGCAAUGGCAUAAGCUAGCUUGACUGCGAGCGUGACGGCGCGAGCAGGUGCGAAAGCAGGUCAUAGUGAUCCGGUGGUUCUGAAUGGAAGGGCCAUCGCUCAACGGAUAAAAGGUACUCCGGGGAUAACAGGCUGAUACCGCCCAAGAGUUCAUAUCGACGGCGGUGUUUGGCACCUCGAUGUCGGCUCAUCACAUCCUGGGGCUGAAGUAGGUCCCAAGGGUAUGGCUGUUCGCCAUUUAAAGUGGUACGCGAGCUGGGUUUAGAACGUCGUGAGACAGUUCGGUCCCUAUCUGCCGUGGGCGCUGGAGAAUUGAGGGGGGCUGCUCCUAGUACGAGAGGACCGGAGUGGACGCAUCACUGGUGUUCGGGUUGUCAUGCCAAUGGCACUGCCCGGUAGCUAAAUGCGGAAGAGAUAAGUGCUGAAAGCAUCUAAGCACGAAACUUGCCCCGAGAUGAGUUCUCCCUGAGACUUUAAGUCUCCUGAAGGAACGUUAAAGACGAUGACGUUGAUAGGCCGGGUGUGUAAGCGCAGCGAUGCGUUGAGCUAACCGGUACUAAUGAACCGUGAGGCUUAACCUU
RNAcentral lists this ribosomal RNA (2902 nucleotides) under Klebsiella pneumoniae. RNAcentral describes it as "23S ribosomal RNA". It matches the Rfam family "Bacterial large subunit ribosomal RNA". Lineage: Bacteria; Pseudomonadati; Pseudomonadota; Gammaproteobacteria; Enterobacterales; Enterobacteriaceae. The record is from RNAcentral.